AGUGAACGCUGGCGGUAGGCCUAACACAUGCAAGUCGAACGGCAGCACAGGAGAGCUUGCUCUCUGGGUGGCGAGUGGCGGACGGGUGAGGAAUACAUCGGAAUCUACUUUUUCGUGGGGGAUAACGUAGGGAAACUUACGCUAAUACCGCAUACGACCUACGGGUGAGAGCAGGGGACCUUCGGGCCUUGCGCGAUUGAAUGAGCCGAUGUCGGAUUAGCUAGUUGGCGGGGUAAAGGCCCACCAAGGCGACGAUCCGUAGCUGGUCUGAGAGGAUGAUCAGCCACACUGGAACUGAGACACGGUCCAGACUCCUACGGGAGGCAGCAGUGGGGAAUAUUGGACAAUGGGCGCAAGCCUGAUCCAGCCAUACCGCGUGGGUGAAGAAGGCCUUCGGGUUGUAAAGCCCUUUUGUUGGGAAAGAAAUCCAGCUGGCUAAUACCCGGUUGGGAUGACGGUACCCAAAGAAUAAGCACCGGCCAACUUCGUGCCAGCAGCCGCCGUAA
This 506-nucleotide ribosomal RNA is filed under the name uncultured bacterium. RNAcentral's name for it is "partial 16S ribosomal RNA". It matches the Rfam family "Bacterial small subunit ribosomal RNA", at positions 29 to 523 of the family's 1533-position model. The record is from RNAcentral.